RNAcentral lists this ribosomal RNA (465 nucleotides) under uncultured Klebsiella sp. RNAcentral describes it as "bacterial SSU rRNA". It matches the Rfam family "Bacterial small subunit ribosomal RNA", at positions 338 to 795 of the family's 1533-position model. The record is from RNAcentral. Lineage: Bacteria; Pseudomonadati; Pseudomonadota; Gammaproteobacteria; Enterobacterales; Enterobacteriaceae.
CCUACGGGAGGCAGCAGUGGGGAAUAUUGCACAAUGGGCGCAAGCCUGAUGCAGCCAUGCCGCGUGUGUGAAGAAGGCCUUCGGGUUGUAAAGCACUUUCAGCGGGGAGGAAGGCGUUAAGGUUAAUAACCUUGUCGAUUGACGUUACCCGCAGAAGAAGCACCGGCUAACUCCGUGCCAGCAGCCGCGGUAAUACGGAGGGUGCAAGCGUUAAUCGGAAUUACUGGGCGUAAAGCGCACGCAGGCGGUCUGUCAAGUCGGAUGUGAAAUCCCCGGGCUCAACCUGGGAACUGCAUUCGAAACUGGCAGGCUAGAGUCUUGUAGAGGGGGGUAGAAUUCCAGGUGCAGCGGUGAAAUGCGUAGAGAUCUGGAGGAAUACCGGUGGCGAAGGCGGCCCCCUGGACAAAGACUGACGCUCAGGUGCGAAAGCGUGGGGAGCAAACAGGAUUAGAUACCCGUGUAGUC